GCAUUUUUAUUCAGGUUUGCCCUGGGGCCAGGUUAACUCCGUCACCCCUCACCCUUGGUCAUAAUAGAGUCUGAAGAAAUCUGGACCAUUUGGACAUCCUGCAGCAUGUGAUACUGGUUUAGUAAACCAAUGGCCACAGACUGAUUAGGCAGGGAUGUUUCCCGUGAAAGGAUGCGAAGCAACAGGUAUCCAAUAUUCUGAAGGGUACCUAGGAGAUUCACUAGGAUGUAUUAUCAUGUUCUGCUUCAUAUUCUUUUGGAGUACAUAAAAAUGGGCAAAAUGAGAAACAUGGAGACCUUUUGGAAAGAAACUUGCAUCAUCAUCACUAUAAUCAAGAAUGUGAGGUUUAAGACUUGUAUUAUGGCCUAAAAGGCUCUCCCUGCCUUUUCUGGUGUCUUCCCCUUAAUUCUUAAUUGAAAUCUUCUCCAAUAAAUCAAAUCCCAUCUUGACAUCUGCUUCGCACAGGAACUGAACUAACACAAGUGAAUCCUGGUGUGAGCCAAGAAAAAAGCAGUAAGAUGGCACUUUUGGACUAGCUUGCUCACCGUCCAGUGACCAGUGAGGACGCCGUCCUGGGUGGUAUGCAGUGCAUGGCUAGUCUCUGGCACUAGGUGGCCUCUCAGAUGCUAAAGACUUCACAAGUAGUGACCUGGAGAAACUCUUGGGUGGAGGGAACAUCACUGUAGGUACAGUGAUCCAAGAUUUUGAAAGGUAUGGGAGUGCCAUGUCUGUAGGCAGAGGAGCUGGUUGGUCAGUGAAUGCCAAACUGUAUUGAUGCCUUCACAAGGAUGAUGAAAAACUGAGGGCCUUCAACACGCAUUUAAAGGCUGAGUGUGAGAGCCAGAGAGCAUCCUUAGUGCCUUAGCUCCCGCAGUGGGGAAGCUGGCACAGCUGAGUAGCUGACCAGAGAUCCGAAUGUUAACGUCGGAGCUCCUAAUACAUUUAAAUGGCCAGAAAGCUUGGAAAAGGUUGAGAAAACUUCAGAUUCUGAAAAAUGGGAUGAGUAUGAGGAUGUUGUUGACUCCGUACACACACCCAGCUUACAGCAGCAGUAAGAGCUAACGCUCCGCCCAUACUGGAAGAUGCAACAGACUUCUCCCCAACCAUGUGAGAGGCGCCCCCAUUACAGCUGCUCCCACCUCCUCGCCUGGAUUCCAGACUGAUAACCAGCUGAAGAUAUUCUGGGCCUGAGAAGAGAAGGAAGGUAUUAUAUAUUGUGAGGAGCCACCAAAGCGAGCUGGCCUAUACCAGUGUUGGAUUUUGAGGGUCUUUGAUCCAGGGUGAUGGAAUGUAAGAGUGGA
Molecule: non-coding RNA, 1301 nt
Organism: Vicugna pacos (alpaca)
Lineage: Eukaryota; Metazoa; Chordata; Mammalia; Artiodactyla; Camelidae
Source: RefSeq, a predicted model, not a curated record